AUGAAGACCAGGGGGGCCACACCCUUCUCACGAGGGUGGGGGGCGCCCCCCCUAGGGCGCGCCCCCCUACCUCGUGGGCCCCCUGGAUGCCCUCCAACGCCAACUCCAACUCUAUAUAUUUGCUUUCAGAGAGAAAAAAUCAGAGAGAAGAAAUCAUCGCGUUUUACGAUACAGAGCCGCUGCCAAGCCCUAAAACUUCUCGGGAGGGCUGAUCUGGAGUCCGUUCGGGGCUCCGGAGAGGGGGAUUCGUCGCCGUCGUCAUCAUCAACCAUCCUCCAUCACCAAUUUCAUGAUGCUCACCGCCGUGCGUGA
RNAcentral lists this ribosomal RNA (312 nucleotides) under Triticum aestivum (bread wheat). Its description in RNAcentral is "partial small subunit ribosomal RNA". The record is from RNAcentral. Lineage: Eukaryota; Viridiplantae; Streptophyta; Magnoliopsida; Poales; Poaceae.